Molecule: ribosomal RNA, 603 nt
Filed under: Eulimnogammarus verrucosus
Lineage: Eukaryota; Metazoa; Arthropoda; Malacostraca; Amphipoda; Eulimnogammaridae
Description: SSU rRNA
Rfam family: Eukaryotic small subunit ribosomal RNA
Source: RNAcentral
AAGAUUAAGCCAUGCAUGUCUAAGUCCAAGCUGUGUUCACACGGCGAGACCGCGGACGGCUCAUUAAAUCAGUCGUGGUCCAAAUGGGCCAGUGCAAAUCCUACUUGGAUAACUGUGGUAAUUCCAGAGCUAAUACAUGCAACUGAUAUCCCGAAGGCGGUGUUUGGGCUUGCUUGCCUUGCGCUGCGCUGCUCUGACGGAUGCUUUUAUUAGACCAAGCCGCUGAGGACUUGAGGGUUCGCGCUCUCUUGUCUGACUCGUGUGAUGGUGACUCUGGAUAACCAAAUUCUGACAAGCGCACGUACUUCUCUUCUGAGCGAGACGGCGCUGCCACUUUCGAGUGUCUGCCUUAUCAGCUAUCAACCGUUCGUUAUGCGCGACCGAUGGCUUUGACGGGUAACGGGGAAUCAGGGUUCGAUUCCGGAGAGGCAGCCUGAGAGACGGCUACCACGUCCAAGGACGGCAGCAGGCACGCAAAUUACCCAAUCCCAGCAAAUGGGGGAGGUAGUGACGAAAUCUAACGAUGCGGGCGCCCUUUCUGGGGCCCCGCAAUCGGAAUGGGCACUUUCUAAACAACCUGUUGAGAACCUACUGAAGGGCAAG